GACGAACGCUGGCGGCGUGCUUAACACAUGCAAGUCGAGCGGUAAGGCCCUUCGGGGUACACGAGCGGCGAACGGGUGAGUAACACGUGGGUGACCUGCCUCUAGCUCUGGGAUAAGCCUGGGAAACUGGGUCUAAUACCGGAUAUGACUCCAUGACGCAUGUUGUGGGGUGGAAAGCCUUGUGCGGCUGAGGAUGGGCCCGCGGCCUAUCAGCUUGUUGGUGGGGGAUGGCCUACCAAGGCGACGACGGGUAGCCGGCCUGAGAGGGCGACCGGCCACACUGGGACUGAGACACGGCCCAGACUCCUACGGGAGGCAGCAGUGGGGAAUCUUGCGCAAUGGGCGAAAGCCUGACGCAGCGACGCCGCGUGAGGGAUGACGGCCUGG
RNAcentral lists this ribosomal RNA (387 nucleotides) under uncultured bacterium. RNAcentral describes it as "bacterial SSU rRNA". It matches the Rfam family "Bacterial small subunit ribosomal RNA", at positions 28 to 419 of the family's 1533-position model. The record is from RNAcentral.